RNAcentral lists this transfer RNA (32 nucleotides) under Osyris wightiana. RNAcentral describes it as "partial tRNA-Leu". The record is from RNAcentral. Lineage: Eukaryota; Viridiplantae; Streptophyta; Magnoliopsida; Santalales; Santalaceae.
UAGUAAGAGGAAAAUCCGUCGACUUUAGAAAU